UUUGACAUAUUAGGAGUGUAUCAGCUAUUUGAUAACUGUCCUAAGUUGACUGCUUUCUACCUGUUCUGUCAUUCACCAUUAAAUACUUGUAAAUCUGUUCGAAAGCAUAUUCUGAAAAGCUAUGGUCCAAGAAGUCAAUCAUUAAGUGUUGCAGUACAUCCACUGACACAUGACAGAUUGCCAGACAUAAUUGCAUCAAUACCAGACGUUCAUCUUAAAGAAAUUGUCAAGUAUAAUAAUCAUGAUGUCUCCUGUUUUUUGUGGAAGUCAGCACUUGGAUAAAUAAACUCAUUGGGUUCAGAAUUGAAUACAUGGUAAUGGGAGGACCACUUCAACCAUUCACUGUAAUGAAACGGCAUUGUCAUAAUAAACUAGCAAUGAAGAAUGUCACUGCCCCUGCUUGGUUUUGAACUCGUACACUAAAUCUCAGACAACUAAUAAAUAGAUUGGCAAAGCGGGCAUUUCUUUU
Long non-coding RNA from Saccoglossus kowalevskii, 469 nucleotides. NCBI's taxonomy places the organism in Eukaryota, Metazoa, Hemichordata, Enteropneusta, Harrimaniidae. The record is from RefSeq and is a predicted model, not a curated record.